Molecule: ribosomal RNA, 460 nt
Filed under: uncultured bacterium
Lineage: Bacteria
Description: partial 16S ribosomal RNA
Rfam family: Bacterial small subunit ribosomal RNA
Source: RNAcentral
CCUACGGGUGGCAGCAGUGAGGAAUAUUGGUCAAUGGCCGUAAGGCUGAACCAGCCAAGUCGCGUGAAGGAUGAAUGAUCUAUGGGUUGUAAACUUCUUUUAUAUGGGAAUAAAGUUAUCCACGUGUGGAUAUUUGCAUGUACCCUAUGAAUAAGCAUCGGCUAACUCCGUGCCAGCAGCCGCGGUAAUACGGAGGAUCCGAGCGUUAUCCGGAUUUAUUGGGUUUAAAGGGUGCGUAGGUUGUUUUUUAAGUCAGUGGUGAAAGUUUGUGGCUCAACCAUAAAAUUGCCGUUGAAACUGGAAGACUUGAGUGUGUUUGAGGUAGGCGGAAUGCGUGGUGUAGCGGUGAAAUGCAUAGAUAUCACGAAGAACUCCGAUUGCGAAGGCAGCUUACUAAGCUGCAACUGACACUGAAGCACGAAAGUGUGGGUAUCAAACAGGAUUAGAUACCCCUGUAGUC